This 253-nucleotide ribosomal RNA is filed under the name uncultured bacterium. RNAcentral describes it as "partial 16S ribosomal RNA". It matches the Rfam family "Bacterial small subunit ribosomal RNA", at positions 524 to 776 of the family's 1533-position model. The record is from RNAcentral.
GACGUAGGGUGCAAGCGUUGUCCGGAAUUAUUGGGCGUAAAGGGCUCGUAGGCGGUCUGUCACGUCGGGAGUGAAAACUCGGGGCUUAACCCCGAGCCUGCUUCCGAUACGGGCAGACUAGAGGUAUGCAGGGGAGAAUGGAAUUCCUGGUGUAGCGGUGAAAUGCGCAGAUAUCAGGAGGAACACCGGUGGCGAAGGCGGUUCUCUGGGCAUUACCUGACGCUGAGGAGCGAAAGUGUGGGGAGCGAACAGG